RNAcentral lists this long non-coding RNA (1349 nucleotides) under Fukomys damarensis (Damara mole-rat). Its description in RNAcentral is "lncRNA (ENSFDAG00000030912.1)". Lineage: Eukaryota; Metazoa; Chordata; Mammalia; Rodentia; Bathyergidae. The record is from RNAcentral.
CUUUAACCCAGUGCGUGGUUCCUCUCCACAUCACACGUGUGCGCCUGUUUUGGGGGACGGGGGGAUGCAGGGCAUCCAGGCACCUCAGCCUGCCUGGGCUGUGAGCUCAUAUGCUGUUGUCCCAAACGAUCCUCCUGCCCAGAAACCUCCCCAGCACUCCACCCAGAAGGGGGAGCAAAUGGAAAAUUGGAGCAAGCCCUCAUAUUGGGUCAGGGAAGAAAAUAUUCUUUUUCCCCCCUUUCACUCUAAAAAUAUGCUCAAGGCUUUUUUUUGGAGCUUUGUUGAAAUAAAAAACCAGCUGUGGCUCAGAACGCCCCCACAGCCUUCGCCCAGGGAGAAAGGAAAACAAAAACAGCUGCUGGCGGCUGAUCAUGCCGCAGGCGCUGGCUCAGGGUGCAGGCACCUCUGGCCUAGAAUUGCUCCCAGUGGGCACCCAACAGCCCUAUUUGCUCGUUCUGGUGUGAGCGCUGGACACAGAGUUCAUCAGCCCCUCUUCCCCGUAAUUCUCUGGGCGAGGACGUUGGGUGAUGAGGGAGACGAACUCUCCUCGCGCUACCGCCUCAUCUCACCGCGGAGGCAGAACAGGAUCGAGAGGAAAUGGACUUCCCCAAGACCUGUAGCUGGUGUGAGCAGAGCAAGGACGGGGACUCUGUCUGCCCACCCCACUGCUCUGCCUCAGGGCCUUCCUUCCCACACCCGUGCCCCUCCAUCCGGCCUUGAGCUCUUCUCCAGUGUCGUGCUCACCAUGGGGGUCUCCUGGCCCGGUGGCAGCAUACAGUGGAUGCCCAGGAAAUGUCUGUCCAUGGACUGGAUGGACGGCCUGGGAAGGACAUGGACUUAAUACCGUGGGUGUCAGAUUUGUGUGCGCAUUGGAAUCACCUGGAGGGUGUCAAAAACUUCCUGUCCCUGUGCCCUGCCACAAGGGGUUGUGGUUUAGCUGCCUUGGGUGUGGCUUGGGCAUGGGAAUUUUUAAAAGAUUCCCAGAAAAUUCUACGAUGUGCAUGUGUUUGGGAAUCACGAGUUUUUCGAGAAAUUUUAAUGUAGGACCUUAAAAACAACCUCAAACAAACAGCUUUAUUGAGAUUUAAUUGACAGAUGGGAAAUUGCACAUACUAAAAAUAUAUAAUUUGAAAAGUUUUAAAAACCCAUCUGAGCCAUUUGAAGUACACAGUUCCGUAGAAUUACACUGUUGUGCAACCGGUCUCCAGAACGUUCUCAUCUUGCAAAACAGAGACUAAAUCUGUUAGCAGCUCUCAACCCCUCUCCUCUCAGCCCCUGACACUCAUCAUCCUACUUCCUGUCCUUGACUUUGAUCAUUCCAGGUACUUCAUGUAAGAGGAAUCGCACCA